CUGGCGGCAGGCUUAACACAUGCAAGUCGAACGCAUCCUUCGGGGUGAGUGGCAGACGGGUGAGUAACGCGUGGGAACGUGCCCUUCAGUUCGGGAUAACCCAGGGAAACUUGGGCUAAUACCGGAUACGUGCGAGAGCAGAAAGAUUUAUCGCUGAAGGAUCGGCCCGCGUCUGAUUAGCUAGUUGGUAGGGUAAUGGCCUACCAAGGCGACGAUCAGUAGCUGGUCUGAGAGGAUGAUCAGCCACAUUGGGACUGAGACACGGCCCAAACUCCUACGGGAGGCAGCAGUGGGGAAUAUUGGACAAUGGGCGCAAGCCUGAUCCAGCCAUGCCGCGUGAGUGAUGAAGGCCUUAGGGUUGUAAAGCUCUUUCGUCCGGGACGAUAAUGACGGUACCGGAAGAAGAAGCCCCGGCU
RNAcentral lists this ribosomal RNA (416 nucleotides) under unidentified bacterium VCT101. Its description in RNAcentral is "bacterial SSU rRNA". It matches the Rfam family "Bacterial small subunit ribosomal RNA", at positions 36 to 498 of the family's 1533-position model. The record is from RNAcentral.